GUACGGGAGGCAGCAGUGGGGAAUUUUGGACAAUGGGCGCAAGCCUGAUCCAGCCAUUCCGCGUGAGUGAAGAAGGCCUUCGGGUUGUAAAGCUCUUUCGGCAGGAACGAAACGGUCCUGGUUAAUACCUGGGGCUAAUGACGGUACCUGAAGAAGAAGCACCGGCUAACUACGUGCCAGCAGCCGCGGUAAUACGUAGGGUGCGAGCGUUAAUCGGAAUUACUGGGCGUAAAGCGUGCGCAGGCGGUUUUGUAAGACAGAUGUGAAAUCCCCGGGCUCAACCUGGGAACUGCGUUUGUGACUGCAAGACUCGAGUGUGGCAGAGGGGGGUGGAAUUCCACGUGUAGCAGUGAAAUGCGUAGAGAUGUGGAGGAACACCGAUGGCGAAGGCAGCCCCCUGGGUCAACACUGACGCUCAUGCACGAAAGCGUGGGUAGCAAACAGGAUUAGAUACCCCGGU
This 460-nucleotide ribosomal RNA is filed under the name uncultured bacterium. RNAcentral describes it as "bacterial SSU rRNA". It matches the Rfam family "Bacterial small subunit ribosomal RNA", at positions 339 to 791 of the family's 1533-position model. The record is from RNAcentral.